Molecule: ribosomal RNA, 99 nt
Filed under: Kribbella sindirgiensis
Lineage: Bacteria; Bacillati; Actinomycetota; Actinomycetes; Propionibacteriales; Kribbellaceae
Also listed under: 1 other name
Description: partial 16S ribosomal RNA
Rfam family: Bacterial small subunit ribosomal RNA
Source: RNAcentral
UUUCAACGGAGAGUUUGAUCCUGGCUCAGGACGAACGCUGGCGGCGUGCUUAACACAUGCAAGUCGAGCGGUAAGGCCCCUUCGGGGGUACACGAGCGG